CUGAUCUUGAUAACUCUGCAUUAACACUGUGCAGGACAGUGAUGGACCAACACGCAUGAUCGGGCAGCAAAAGGGCGUGGCCGAGACAGGAGGAGCAAGUGAGGUCAGAAGGCACCUCAGAAUGGACAAAAAUACAGGAGAAGAAGAUGCAGGUUUCACCUACGGUGAGCAUGGACAUUGGAGAAAGGACUGCCCCAAUUGGGGUCAGAACCAGGAUGGACAGAACUUCGAGCAGCAGCAGCAGCAAUGGUCGCAAACAGACUGAAAAAGAGGAGGGCAGGACCCCAGGGCAUGCUUCAGGCCAUGGUUUACCCAAGACACCAGAACAGGAAAGUGAUGAACACACACACACACACACAUCUACAUACACUGAUGAAGAGAAACACACACAUGAACAGAUGUGCACUCGUUGAUUGAGUGAAAAAUGACACACACAUUGAAAUGCUGAUUCACUGAGAAGUGAUCCACACACACACAUGCACACGUUUGUGCAACGAAGAGUGAUGCGCACACACACACACACACGCUGAUGCAAUGAAGAAUGCUUUGCUAACAAAUGCUUAUGCUGAUAUGCAAAAUGCUGCACACAAAUAUCCCAAUACAUAAUUUUUAUGAGGGCAUUUAUGUAGAUUUAAGGAAUAAGGUCUGAAACAGUUUGGUUAUGAAAACAAUGUCUGUGCGUGAUGUCUGUUUAUGGCUCAAGGCCUUGACUGAAUUCUUUGCUGUGCUUCAUACAGCCUGGUGAGGAACAGUGGCACAGAGUGAAAAUGAUGAAUUAAUAGUGUAAGUUUUAGGUCGGAGUACAGCAUUUUCUGUGAUUGAGAUUUAAUUCAAGGAGGAACAAAGGUGCUACGGUACCUGAGGUUCUCAUUCCCACACAAUAUUGUCCCGGCAGGAAGCAAAACGUUCCUGUGAAUUUCUGGUUGAUAUUUUGGUUUUGCUUAGCGCUAGCUUGAUUUUAUCAGUGAGCUUUGGCUUGUGUUCUUUCUCUAACUAAGAGAGAGAUGAUUUUAUGCUUGGACAUGUCUGCAACGGGCCCUAGUUUGCGUUAUUUUUAUUAGUAUUUUGUUGGUUACGUCUGUGUUUGUUUUUGUUACAGUGCACUGAGAUAAGAAAAUCGGAGAGGUGUGAUCCACUGGUGGUGAUAUUUUGUGAGUUCAUGAUUUAACAAUCAGCUCUUUAAACUAGGCCUGAAAGAUUGAGAUCUAAAGCGCUGUAAAAUAUUAUUACUGUAAACAGUUGCAAAGUGUGCUUCUCCAUGAUUGUAAUUGGCUUGGGAGAAAUUCACUUAUAGGGGACACUGAUCACGCGGUAGGUCCUGAGUCUAAAAGGAUUGCAGCGAGUCAAUCCAGUCCAAAAAACAAGGAAUUG
This is a long non-coding RNA of Oreochromis aureus, 1371 nucleotides long. Lineage: Eukaryota; Metazoa; Chordata; Actinopteri; Cichliformes; Cichlidae. The record is from Ensembl.